This is a long non-coding RNA of Nematostella vectensis (starlet sea anemone), 1179 nucleotides long. RefSeq lists it as uncharacterized. NCBI's taxonomy places the organism in Eukaryota, Metazoa, Cnidaria, Anthozoa, Actiniaria, Edwardsiidae. The record is from RefSeq and is a predicted model, not a curated record. The transcript has 2 exons.
UGCAAACUAUUAAUUAUAUAAAAACUGAAAUCAUUAUUAUUUGAUGGCUUAUAAAGCACCCAUAACCAUAAAAAACCACUGAUUGGCACCUGCUAGAUUAGUUAGCUUGGUUAAUGCGUGGGUUUGAUUUAGCACACAAUUGGUUUGUGAAGUUUGGUUGGUUUUAUAUCAAAUGUACUCUGCGAUUUGAAAUUCCCGGUUUUGGAACUAGUCAAAAGUAAGACUAUUGGACAUCUGCUAGAAGUUGUAUCAAACGUAUCGAGUUAACAAAACCUAUAACGGCUAAAACGUUGGCUGAUUAUGUUUCUCGUAUAGGAAAACAAGAAUGAUUGCUUUUGAAUGAUCUAUUGUGCAACCACUUGCAAGGAGUUUUCACAAAGCCUCGCGCAGUGUUUUUGGUAAAAUUCCUUCGUUUGAUAGAGGUUUAUUCUAGGCCGAAACCAUGCCAAUGUCAAGAAGACUCAAAUGUUCAAUUGAGACUUGCUCUAGCUGGCGAAGGCUUCGUUUCUCAACUGACAGUCCGGAUCCGUACUCCGCAGAAGUUCCCCAUCAAACAUAACAUACGGGUACUUUCACAUACGGGAUAACCGCAAAUUAUUCACCCAGUCUCAAUCCGGUUUGGUGGUUUGCAUAUUUUGGAACUCUCUAAGAUUUUCGAAAUUUGUGAUGAGUAUUUAGACUCUCAGCCCAAAAGAAAGUUCCAUUGAAGCAAGUUUCUGCAAUUUUUCUCCACUUUACUGUAAAAUGUGAUACUUUAAUGGUCGCGAUGGCUAUCAUGACUAACAGCUUUAGAUGAUUCGGGUUCGGCCAGGAACCACUGAAACCACCAUUAUUGCCAAUAGCUUUCCAAGUCAUGGUUGGAAUACUAUAUUUAAAGAAUUUGAUCAACUACUCUUGUGUUGCUGUCUAUAUUCAUUUUACAUAAAUACUUCAAAACAUCAAACCACAAUUGAAGUCUGAUAUUUGAUUGCCAGACUUAUUGUAACCUCAGUACCUAGUGGUGGAGGUAAUGUAUGGCAGACACUUGCUAUCUUGAAAGACUUUUAGGAGAUGAAUAACGUUGGCUUCAGGAAUAUUUUUAUUGUAUGCAAAAAAGGAAAGAAUAUUAUGAGUCUUCGUCCUCCAUCUCCACAAUUCAUAACCCAAAGGAAUCUCGAGAAUAAAGAAAAGAUCGACGUA